AUUGAACGCUGGCGGCAUGCCUUACACAUGCAAGUCGAACGGCAGCACGGGAGCAAUCCUGGUGGCGAGUGGCGAACGGGUGAGUAAUACACCGGAACGUGCCCAAUCGUGGGGGAUAACGCAGCGAAAGCUGUGCUAAUACCGCAUACGAUCUACGGAUGAAAGCAGGGGAUCGCAAGACCUUGCGCGAAUGGAGCGGCCGAUGGCAGAUUAGGUAGUUGGUGAGGUAAAGGCUCACCAAGCCGUCGAUCUGUAGCUGGUCUGAGAGGACGACCAGCCACACUGGGACUGAGACACGGCCCAGACUCCUACGGGAGGCAGCAGUGGGGAAUUUUGGACAAUGGGCGAAAGCCUGAUCCAGCCAUGCCGCGUGCAGGAUGAAGGCCUUCGGGUUGUAAACUGCUUUUGUACGGAACGAAACGGCCUUUUCUAAUAAAGAGGGCUAAUGACGGUACCGUAAGAAUAAGCACCGGCUAACUACGUGCCAGCAGCCGCGGUAAUACGUAGGGUGCAAGCGUUAAUCGGAAUUACUGGGCGUAAAGCGUGCGCAGGCGGUUAUGUAAGACAGUUGUGAAAUCCCCGGGCUCAACCUGGGAACUGCAUCUGUGACUGCAUAGCUAGAGUACGGUAGAGGGGGAUGGAAUUCCACGUGUAGCAGUGAAAUGCGUAGAUAUGCGGAGGAACACCGAUGGCGAAGGCAAUCCCCUGGACCUGUACUGACGCUCAUGCACGAAAGCGUGGGGAGCAAACAGG
RNAcentral lists this ribosomal RNA (753 nucleotides) under uncultured Comamonadaceae bacterium. Its description in RNAcentral is "bacterial SSU rRNA". It matches the Rfam family "Bacterial small subunit ribosomal RNA", at positions 28 to 776 of the family's 1533-position model. Lineage: Bacteria; Pseudomonadati; Pseudomonadota; Betaproteobacteria; Burkholderiales; Comamonadaceae. The record is from RNAcentral.